Molecule: long non-coding RNA, 221 nt
Filed under: Ictidomys tridecemlineatus (thirteen-lined ground squirrel)
Lineage: Eukaryota; Metazoa; Chordata; Mammalia; Rodentia; Sciuridae
Description: lncRNA (ENSSTOG00000030166.1)
Source: RNAcentral
GUAACCUUGGCAGCACGGGCUUCUGAUACUUCCCAUCUCACCUCCUUUUGAUUCACCUACUAGAGGUUGAUGCCUGGACCAUAGAUAGCAUAGAUCUUCCAGAGCCCUGAACCAGCUACCGAUGGUGUGCAUGGCACACAGACCCUUGACCAUGGUAGCACCAGGAACCUGACUCAGUCCCCACUCACCAAGCCAGGCCCCCGUCUGCAGAUGCCUCUGCU